RNAcentral lists this ribosomal RNA (571 nucleotides) under Curvularia sp. Its description in RNAcentral is "eukaryotic LSU rRNA". The stretch from base 211 to 364 matches the Rfam family "5.8S ribosomal RNA". Lineage: Eukaryota; Fungi; Ascomycota; Dothideomycetes; Pleosporales; Pleosporaceae. The record is from RNAcentral.
UCUCCGUAGGUGAACCUGCGGAGGGAUCAUUACACAAUAAACAUAUGAAGGCUGCACCGCCAACAGGCGGCAAGGCUGGAGUAUUUUAUUACCCUUGUCUUUUGCGCACUUGUUGUUUCCUGGGCGGGUUCGCCCGCCUCCAGGACCACAUGAUAAACCUUUUUUAUGCAGUUGCAAUCAGCGUCAGUACAACAAAUGUAAAUCAUUUACAACUUUCAACAACGGAUCUCUUGGUUCUGGCAUCGAUGAAGAACGCAGCGAAAUGCGAUACGUAGUGUGAAUUGCAGAAUUCAGUGAAUCAUCGAAUCUUUGAACGCACAUUGCGCCCUUUGGUAUUCCAAAGGGCAUGCCUGUUCGAGCGUCAUUUGUACCCUCAAGCUUUGCUUGGUGUUGGGCGUUUUUUGUCUUUGGUUUUGUCCAAAGACUCGCCUUAAAACGAUUGGCAGCCGGCCUACUGGUUUCGCAGCGCAGCACAUUUUUGCGCUUGCAAUCAGCAAAAGAGGACGGCACUCCAUCAAGACUCUAUAUCACUUUUGACCUCGGAUCAGGUAGGGAUACCCGCUGAACUUAA